This 64-nucleotide transfer RNA is filed under the name Helianthus annuus (common sunflower). It matches the Rfam family "tRNA", at positions 6 to 65 of the family's 71-position model. Rfam says of the family: Transfer RNA (tRNA) molecules are approximately 80 nucleotides in length. Their secondary structure includes four short double-helical elements and three loops (D, anti-codon, and T loops). The record is from RNAcentral. Lineage: Eukaryota; Viridiplantae; Streptophyta; Magnoliopsida; Asterales; Asteraceae.
AGUAGCUCAGUGGUAGAGCGGUCGGCUGUUAACUGACUGGUCGUAGGUUCAGAAAGCCCUUCUU